UUGACCAUUUGUCCUCCCAGGCCUCAGACUGCUUCUGAAGUGGAGAGCAUUGAAUAAACCCAGGAUUCCUUCCUGGGAACUGGGUACUUGUCUUCGAGGAGUAGAGCGUCUUUGCAGAAGCCCGUGGCACUAGAAUUUGAGGCACAGAGUGAAGGUUGACUGCUAGGUGCCAAGCCUGAUGCUGGCAAUGGGGAGCUGAAUGGAUAAACAGGAAACUCUUUCAAUCUGGGCAAAGACAACGGGAAGAUGAGUUUGUGAACCAGAUAACAACCAUCAUCAUAAAUGGGACCACGGAAGACAGAGGCAAAACCAGAAACGUGCCUUCAGUGAGAUGUGGGAGAAGGGGCGGGCGGAAGGUUCUCGUGCCUCUUCCACAAGCUUUCCAUCUAAAACUUCCUUCUCGUGGAAAGAUGAGCUUUAGCUUGUAAAUUCUCCUGGGAAGUUGAUACCCGUCUUUACUCUCACACUAACGAAUCCACAUCAGUAUUUUCCCUUUUGUGAGGCAUGAGGAGAGCCUUGAGUGCCUCAAGAGUAAGUGUCUGCAGAUAUGAGAAAAUGCUGCCAAAAUAGAAAGCUUAGCAUCUUAAAAUCAAAUUUAUUGCACCAAAAAUUUUUUGGAAAUUUGUUAUAGAUUUUAUCUGAGAUGGCUUGAAUCACAACAGCAAUCGGUAGAACUGUCUUUUAUUUUCCUUCUUUUGGAUUUGUAGUUUCUCAAUACCGUAUGGUCUUGACCAUCCACCACCUUCCUUUCGUUGUUUGGUGUCCUUCCUUUGCUCUCAGACUCUUUUGAAAACUAUUUUAAGCUGCCCCAUUUCUGCUCCUGAAUGUCUCCCCCCUUGAUUCCCGCUGGUCGUGUUUAUUUAUUAGCUCACAAUGAUUGCUUCCUUUCUCAGGUCUGGAGGGGCAUGACUGUGCUCAGGUAUGACUCUGCCCCUUAAAAAACAUGAAAACAAGGCGUGAAUAUCAUUGAGUUGAUGACUGUAUCUAUUAAAAAUAUCGUGAAUCAC
Molecule: long non-coding RNA, 1007 nt
Organism: Nyctereutes procyonoides (raccoon dog)
Lineage: Eukaryota; Metazoa; Chordata; Mammalia; Carnivora; Canidae
Exons: 3
Source: RefSeq, a predicted model, not a curated record